Molecule: ribosomal RNA, 650 nt
Filed under: Escherichia coli
Lineage: Bacteria; Pseudomonadati; Pseudomonadota; Gammaproteobacteria; Enterobacterales; Enterobacteriaceae
Description: partial 23S ribosomal RNA
Rfam family: Bacterial large subunit ribosomal RNA
Source: RNAcentral
AUGGAGCCGACCUUGAAAUACCACCCUUUAAUGUUUGAUGUUCUAACGUUGACCCGUAAUCCGGGUUGCGGACAGUGUCUGGUGGGUAGUUUGACUGGGGCGGUCUCCUCCUAAAGAGUAACGGAGGAGCACGAAGGUUGGCUAAUCCUGGUCGGACAUCAGGAGGUUAGUGCAAUGGCAUAAGCCAGCUUGACUGCGAGCGUGACGGCGCGAGCAGGUGCGAAAGCAGGUCAUAGUGAUCCGGUGGUUCUGAAUGGAAGGGCCAUCGCUCAACGGAUAAAAGGUACUCCGGGGAUAACAGGCUGAUACCGCCCAAGAGUUCAUAUCGACGGCGGUGUUUGGCACCUCGAUGUCGGCUCAUCACAUCCUGGGGCUGAAGUAGGUCCCAAGGGUAUGGCUGUUCGCCAUUUAAAGUGGUACGCGAGCUGGGUUUAGAACGUCGUGAGACAGUUCGGUCCCUAUCUGCCGUGGGCGCUGGAGAACUGAGGGGGGCUGCUCCUAGUACGAGAGGACCGGAGUGGACGCAUCACUGGUGUUCGGGUUGUCAUGCCAAUGGCACUGCCCGGUAGCUAAAUGCGGAAGAGAUAAGUGCUGAAAGCAUCUAAGCACGAAACUUGCCCCGAGAUGAGUUCUCCCUGACUCCUUGAGAG